AUUCAGCUGACAAGUUCCAAAUAUGACGAAACGCGUGUCCUGGAU
Molecule: non-coding RNA, 45 nt
Filed under: Schistosoma bovis
Lineage: Eukaryota; Metazoa; Platyhelminthes; Trematoda; Strigeidida; Schistosomatidae
Also listed under: 1 other name
Source: RNAcentral